Molecule: ribosomal RNA, 295 nt
Filed under: uncultured Streptococcus sp.
Lineage: Bacteria; Bacillati; Bacillota; Bacilli; Lactobacillales; Streptococcaceae
Description: partial 16S ribosomal RNA
Rfam family: Bacterial small subunit ribosomal RNA
Source: RNAcentral
GCAACGAGCGCAACCCCUAUUGUUAGUUGCCAUCAUUAAGUUGGGCACUCUAGCGAGACUGCCGGUAAUAAAACCGGGAGGAAGGUGGGGAUGACGUCAAAUCAUCAUGCCCUUAUGACCUGGGCUACACACGUGCUACAAUGGUUGGUACAACGAGUCGCGAGUCGGUGACGGCAAGCAAAUCUCUUAAAGCCAAUCUCAGUUCGGAUUGUAGGCUGCAACUCGCCUACAUGAAGUCGGAAUCGCUAGUAAUCGCGGAUCAGCACGCCCGCGGUCGAAUACGUUCCCGGGCCUU